GACGAACGCUGGCGGCGUGCUUAACACAUGCAAGUCGAACGGAAAGGCCCUGCUUUUGUGGGGUGCUCGAGUGGCGAACGGGUGAGUAACACGUGAGUAACCUGCCCUUGACUUUGGGAUAACUUCAGGAAACUGGGGCUAAUACCGGAUAGGAGCUCCUGCUGCAUGGUGGGGGUUGGAAAGUUUCGGCGGUUGGGGAUGGACUCGCGGCUUAUCAGCUUGUUGGUGGGGUAGUGGCUUACCAAGGCUUUGACGGGUAGCCGGCCUGAGAGGGUGACCGGCCACAUUAGGACUGAGAUACGGCCCAGACUCCAACGGGAGGCAGCAGUGGGGAAUAUUGCCCAAUGGGCGGAAGCCUGAUGCCGCACCGCCGCGUGAGGGAUGAAGGCCUUCGGGUUGUAAACCGCUUUCGCCUGUGACGAAGCGUGAGUGACGGUAAUGGGUAAAGAAGCACCGGCUAACUACGUG
RNAcentral lists this ribosomal RNA (468 nucleotides) under uncultured bacterium. RNAcentral's name for it is "partial 16S ribosomal RNA". It matches the Rfam family "Bacterial small subunit ribosomal RNA", at positions 28 to 507 of the family's 1533-position model. The record is from RNAcentral.